RNAcentral lists this microRNA precursor (103 nucleotides) under Marmota monax (woodchuck). The record is from RNAcentral. Lineage: Eukaryota; Metazoa; Chordata; Mammalia; Rodentia; Sciuridae.
AGUCAAAUUUCUGGGUUACAUGGUAUACUAAUGCUUUAAUUUUUGAGGGAACACUAUACUGUUUUCCACAGUGACUAUAUUAUUUUAGAUUCCCAUUAGCAGU